This is a non-coding RNA of Vicia faba (fava bean), 125 nucleotides long. The record is from the annotation of a GenBank genome assembly. Lineage: Eukaryota; Viridiplantae; Streptophyta; Magnoliopsida; Fabales; Fabaceae.
GUUUUGCGUGGGAUCCAAGAAUUCUUUCCGUCAUUGAAGCCGAAGCCUUAGCACUGAAAGAUGCAAUUCUCAGAGCUAUGUCUUCGCACUUGGAGCUUGUUACAUUUGAAAGAGAUUCCCAAUGA